This 73-nucleotide transfer RNA is filed under the name Pteropus alecto (black flying fox). It matches the Rfam family "tRNA". From Rfam's summary of the family: Transfer RNA (tRNA) molecules are approximately 80 nucleotides in length. Their secondary structure includes four short double-helical elements and three loops (D, anti-codon, and T loops). The record is from Rfam by way of RNAcentral. Lineage: Eukaryota; Metazoa; Chordata; Mammalia; Chiroptera; Pteropodidae.
GGUUCCAUAGUGUAGCGGGUAGCACAUCUGCUUUACAUGCAGAAGGUCUUGGGUUCACUCCCCAGAGAAGCCA